This is an RNA transcript of Panicum virgatum (switchgrass), 4099 nucleotides long. It is a transcript of the gene named putative disease resistance protein RGA4, with no coding region annotated. The record is from RefSeq and is a predicted model, not a curated record. The transcript is spliced from 5 exons. NCBI's taxonomy places the organism in Eukaryota, Viridiplantae, Streptophyta, Magnoliopsida, Poales, Poaceae.
UGACGCAAGGGAACAUCUUUGACCAGAGAUCUGCGUGCCAGAUUCCCCUCCCUGCUAGACACGGAUCCACUCCUCGCCGUUCUGGAUUGCCUUCUGCGCUUACCAGUGCUCCCUCCGCUGCUCGCAGUCGCCUCUUCCUCGGCUAGGCGCGGCUCCAGUGCUCUCGUCUCAGUCGAAUCGUCGCGCGUCGAUCCGGCCGUCGACAGCAGGAUGCGUGUGAUGCAAGAAGAGAAGACUUUGUAAGGAGAAAGCUCUUUCCAACCAUUCCUCAACUUUUUCAGUCCUUCCGCUCAUGAAUUGCAGGGGUAGCUGAAGUUCGAUGCUCAGUUUCUGUUUCUAUUGCCUUCUGCUGGAUGCUAGCUUGUACGAAAAGAGAUCCUUCUGGUAAUGUAAAAUUCACAUGGGUACAUACUGCUCUCUCCUUGUACAUCAAUAUGAUCAGUGGCUUAUCAAUUGACCCAUGUUCAGGUGUCGCAGCUUAAUAUGUGGGUUCUCUCCUGUUGAUUAGCUGAUUGUCAACAUUCUAUCCAUUGAUUUCUCCAUUUCAUUUUCUUGGGCUUGUUGAGAACUCGAUAUAUUAAAGUAAUGAUGGGCCGAUGAUCAUCAUUAGGAAUUGGUUCUGCAACAUGGUUACAAUGGACCUUAUCAUAUCGAUCCUUUUAGCUUGCUGGAAGGUAGAUCUGCAAGUCUUCAAGUCUGCUACCCUUGCAAAUAAAUCACUUGGAAUUUUUUGAGGACCUUCCUCUGAAGUUUGGCUAAUGGCAACCAUAUUACAUUCUCUGGUUUUAUCAUGUGCUAAGAAGUUGCAAGAUAUCGUAGCAGAGGAGGCGAUUCUUAUUCUAGGGGUAAAAGGAGAGCUUAGAGAACUGCUGAGAACAAUGAACCAGAUACAAUGCUUUCUUAAUGAUGCUGAGCAGAGGAGGACAGAAGAGUCAGCAGUUAACAAUUGGCUCGCUGAGCUGAAAGAUUCUAUAUAUGAAGCUGAUGAUAUUAUUGACAUGGCCAAAAUUGAGGGAAGCAAAGCUGCUAGCAAACUAUCCUUCAUCAACAUCCUCAUCACCAGGAGACUCGAUUGGGUGUACAAGAUUCUCAGUUUUCUCUUGCAUUCCUACUAUUCAGAGACGCCGUGGGAUUGCUAUUCGAAUAAAAAGUUUCAAUGCAGAACUUGAGAAGAUUACAAAGCUAGGUGAAAGAUUUUUAAAGCUUCAGAAUAUGCAGACUAAAGAGGAUGUUUCAGUAGUGAGGAAGAUGAAAACAUGCCAAAUUUUGGAGCCUAACCUUGUGGGGAAGGAAACAUCACGUGCCAGCAAAAGAAUUUUGGAACUGGUGCUUGCACACAAGAAAAAGAAAAGCUAUAAGUUUGGUAUUCUUGGAACUGGAGGGGUUGGUAAAACAACUUUGGCUCAAAAAAUCUAUAAUGAUGAAAAGAUAAAAGGAACCUUUAGAAAACAAGCUUGGAUUUGUGUUUCUCAGAAGUAUUCUGAAGUUGCUUUAUUAAAGGAAGUUCUCCGAAACAUUGGGGUGAAUUAUGAUCAAGAUGAGACUGUGGGUGAACUCAGUGCAAAGCUGGCAAUGGAAAUUGAAAACAAAAGUUUCUUUCUUGUGUUGGAUGACAUAUGGCAGCAUGGUGUAUGGACUAAUCUACUUAGAAUUCUAUUACACACUGCAUCUACUACAGUAAUUUUGUUGACAACUAGAAAUGAUACAGUUGCACAAGCAAUUGGGGUGGAUGAUGUGCAUCGAAUUGAAUUGAUGUCAGCAGAUGUGGGAUGGGAGCUUCUAUGGAAGAGUAUGAACAUUAGUGAACCGAUCGAACUGCAAACCCUACAAGGUAUAGGGAUGGAGAUCGUUCAUAUGUGUGGUGGUCUUCCUCUCGCAAUCAAAGUUAUUGCUAGUGUUCUAGCAACUAAAGAGCGAACUGAGAGCGAAUGGAGAAAGGUUAUAAAUAGAAGUGCUUGGUCCAUGGGCAAACUUCCUAUCGAGCUUAGAGGAGCUUUGUAUGUGAGCUAUGAUGAGCUACCAAGGUGUUUGAAGCAAUGUUUCCUCUAUUGCGCAUUGUAUCCAGAAAAUAUGAUAAUGCAUCGUGAUGAUCUUGUCAGGUUUUGGGUUGCUGAAGGUUUUGUAGAAGAGGAAGAAGAACAACUUCUAGAAGAUACAGCUGAAGAAUAUUACUAUGAGUUGAUAUAUAGAAAUCUCCUUCAACCAGUCCCUAUAUGUUUUGACUACUCUUUCUGCAAAAUGCAUGAUCUUCUGAGGCAACUUGCUGGACAUUUAUCAGGAGAAGAAUGUUUUUGUGGAGAUAUACUAUCAUUUAGUGCUAAACCUUUGUCCAAGCUGCGACGAGUUUCAAUUGCCAGUGACAAGAAUUCUUUAAGUUUCCCUAAUGUGGACAGGGACCAUAUUAGAGUAAGGACAUUAAACAUCCGUUUUGCUAAGUCACCUGGAUCUGAGAACACAAUAUUUGGAAGAUUUUCACACCUUCGCGUGUUAAAUUUGACUGGCUCACUAAUACAAUUUAUUCCAAAUUCUAUUGGAAAUAUGGUACACUUACGGUCACUAGAUCUUGAUUUGACUGGCAUAUCUUAUCUUCCAGAGUCCAUCAGUUCUCUAAUAAAUCUUCAAAUAUUGAACCUGGAAGGUUGUUAUUCUUUGAGAAGCCUUCCUUUGGGAAUUACUCAAUUAUGCAACUUAAGACGCAUCGGUCUCCGUGACACACCAAUAAAUCGGGUUCCAAAAGGGAUAGGACUAUUGAAAAAUCUGAAUGAUUUAGAAGGAUUUCCGAUUGGUAAUAGUAGUGGUAAUUCAAGAAUGCAGGAUGGAUGGAAUUUGGAUGAGUUGGAUUCUCUUUUGCAGUUGAGGCGUCUUGAUAUGAUUAAAUUGGAAAAGGCAGCUCAUUGUGGUGUUGAAUCUUUCCUAAAAAAUAAAAAGCAUCUCAAAGUUUUGCGUCUAUGGUGCACUGAGUUUUCAUAUGAACACUAUCAUGAAGAGGAUAUUAGUAGGAUUGAGAAUAUAUUUGAGCAGCUGAUCCUUCCGCAGAACUUGGAAGAGCUAGUAUUUGGGGGAUUCUUUGGUCGGAAAUUUCCCACUUGGCUUGAUGGUGCUCACUUAUCUUCAGUGAAACACUUAAGCCUCGUUAAUUGCAGAUCCUGUCUAUACCUUCCUCCUAUCGGGCAGCUACCUAAUUUGAAGUAUUUGGAAAUUAUGGGGGCAAGCAUGGUUACCAAGAUUGGACCUGAAUUUGUUAGAUACACAGUGGGUAAUCCAUCCUCUUCAGAGGCAAUUGCAUUCCCGAAGCUUGAAUCGCUACUCAUGCGACAGAUGCCCAAUUUAGAGGAGUGGUCAUUCAUCGAAAAAGAAGAAAAUUCAGCAGUAAAUGAGGAAGGCGUUGGUGGUGGACCUCCUGAAAACCGAAGGUAUGAAACACCUGAGAAGGAAAAGGGGGAAGCUCCAUUUCGAAUGAUGGGGCUACUUCCUAGUUUGAAGAACUUGUAUAUUGAUGACUGUCCAAAUCUGCGAGCUCUCCCACAACAGCUUGGACAGCAUGCCACCAGCUUGAAGGAGCUCCAACUGAGAUAUGUGGGGAGCCUUAUGGUGGUGGAGAAUUUCCCGUUCCUCUCACAGAUCCUUGUAAUUGAAGGAUGUGAACGCCUAGAGCGGGUAUCAAAUCUUCCCCAAGUGAGACGACUGCGUGCACAUGACUGUCCAGAUUUAAGAUGUGUGGAGAAGUUGGACAACUUGCAGCAGUUGUGGCUUGACGAGGAUAUGCAAGAGAUCUCCUCACUAUGGGUGCCUAGGCUUGCGCAGCAGUGCCGACAACUUCACUGCGAAGACCUGGAUAUCUCCACUUGGACAAGGGGAUAAUCCAUUGAUGCCUUAUUAGAUGGCUAUAAGACAUUGGGCAUCAGCAUUGGCUAGAUAUUUAUUUUCUUACAUCUUUUUUGGACCAUUUUUUUGAAGUGUUCAGUUUGUACCCUGUUUUGACAUAUGUCAUAGAGUAGUUAUAGUUACUCUUCAUGAAGAGUACUCCGCCUGGAUGAUGGAACUGACUAGAGAUUUACUACACAUUUAAUUUCCUGAUGGGAAAAGUAUCUUCCAUGAA